UACGGAGGGUGCAAACGUUGUUCGGAAUUACUGGGCGUAAAGCGCGCGUAGGCGGUUUGUUAAGUCAGAUGUGAAAGCCCAAGGCUCAACCUUGGACGUGCAUUUGAAACUGGCAGACUUGAGUACUGGAGGGGAUGGUGGAAUUCCCGGUGUAGAGGUGAAAUUCGUAGAUAUCGGGAGGAAUACCGGUGGCGAAGGCGACCAUCUGGCCAGAUACUGACGCUGAGGUGCGAAAGCAUGGGGAGCAAACAGG
RNAcentral lists this ribosomal RNA (253 nucleotides) under uncultured prokaryote. Its description in RNAcentral is "partial 16S ribosomal RNA". It matches the Rfam family "Bacterial small subunit ribosomal RNA", at positions 524 to 776 of the family's 1533-position model. The record is from RNAcentral.